Molecule: ribosomal RNA, 422 nt
Filed under: uncultured bacterium
Lineage: Bacteria
Description: bacterial SSU rRNA
Rfam family: Bacterial small subunit ribosomal RNA
Source: RNAcentral
UGGGGAAUUUUGGACAAUGGGCGCAAGCCUGAUCCAGCAAUGCCGCGUGCAGGAUGAAGGCCCUCAGGGUUGUAAACGGCUUUUAUUCGGGAAGAAGAGCACGGAUGCGUCUGUGUGUGACGGUACCUGAGGAAUAAGCUCCGGCUAACUUCGUGCCAGCAGCCGCGGUAAUACGAAGGGAGCUAGCGUUGUUCGGAAUUACUGGGCGUAAAGGGCGCGUAGGCGGUAAGAUAAGUCAGAUGUGAAAGCCUUGGGCUUAACCUGAGAACUGCAUUUGAUACUGUCUAACUAGAGGACGAGAGAGGAAAGUGGAAUUACGAGUGUAGAGGUGAAAUUCGUAGAUAUUCGUAAGAACACCAGUGGCGAAGGCGACUUUCUGGCUCGUUUCUGACGCUAAGGCGCGAAAGCGUGGGGAGCAAACA